AGGCGGCGGGAAAGACUCGGUAGGGCGAGAUUGAUCAGUGCGAGGGGCCGCGCUCGCUCCGGCGGGCCGGCGAGAGCGGCAGCGGGAGGUGGCGCUGCCUUAGCUCAUCGGCUUGGCGAGGGCUCCCGGAGGGACCAGGACCUGUCCCCGCCCAGACCCCUGCACCUGACGGAUUCCUCCCUUCAAAAGUGUCCUCACGUCGAGCCCCGACGCCCCUCACCCGGCUGCGGCCAGGCCACUGCUGUAACACCACACCAUACCCCCGGGGGUUCUUCCGGUGCGCCCACCGCCCACUUAGGACGCCUGCAUUAUUUUUUACUUUCCACUGCCGACGAAUUUGUGUCCUUCUGGAUUUUUACUCCAGUGGACAGGGGUCGUUGCUCUCUGAUCCUACGUUUUACCAGCAACCCAAAUCUCCUUGUUUCCAUUUCUAUCCUUCUCUCCACGCUAAACGUUCAUGGAAAUAACCGCCAAGUAAUGGUAAUGAUGGAUACACGCAGAAGGCACGGUUCCGACCUUCCCCAAUAAAUUGUCAUCUUAAUCAGCUGUCUAGGCUGCCUCCUAAGAGUGUUUUUUCAUCAUCUGAGUCUCCAGCUAGAAAGAAAACACAAGAACUUCCCUGGUGGUGUUGCAGAGAAGCCAACUGAGUCCAGGUUGGAAACUUUCUUUGACUUGCUUUUUGUUGCUUUUGUUAUUAUAAUCAUACUUAAUA
This 712-nucleotide long non-coding RNA is filed under the name Capra hircus (goat). Its description in RNAcentral is "lncRNA (ENSCHIG00010009130.1)". The record is from RNAcentral. Lineage: Eukaryota; Metazoa; Chordata; Mammalia; Artiodactyla; Bovidae.